Molecule: ribosomal RNA, 169 nt
Filed under: Platymiscium pinnatum subsp. polystachyum
Lineage: Eukaryota; Viridiplantae; Streptophyta; Magnoliopsida; Fabales; Fabaceae
Description: 5.8S ribosomal RNA
Rfam family: 5.8S ribosomal RNA
About the family: 5.8S ribosomal RNA (5.8S rRNA) is a component of the large subunit of the eukaryotic ribosome. It is transcribed by RNA polymerase I as part of the 45S precursor that also contains 18S and 28S rRNA.
Source: RNAcentral
GUCUGAAACGACUCUCGACAACGGAUAUCUCGGCUCUUGCAUCGAUGAAGAACGUAGCGAAAUGCGAUACUUGGUGUGAAUUGCAGAAUCCCGUGAACCAUCGAGUUUUUGAACGCAAGUUGCGCCCGAAGCCAUUAGGUUGAGGGCACGCCUGCCUGGGUGUCACUAA